Molecule: unclassified non-coding RNA, 404 nt
Filed under: Hevea brasiliensis (rubber tree)
Lineage: Eukaryota; Viridiplantae; Streptophyta; Magnoliopsida; Malpighiales; Euphorbiaceae
Source: RNAcentral
UUUAAACUUUAAAAAUGAACUUGUGUAAAAUGAUUGAGCUUGAUACUGGUCAUUCUUUUUUAUGUGCUUAUUUCUUCAUGCAACAGAAUAAUCAUGCUAUGUUUCUUAUGUAUACUUCAGUUUUUCUUUCUCAUAGGAAAUGUAUAUUUAGUUACAAGGAAACUUGUUGGCUUGUAAACUGUCAUAAAAAAGAGAAAUAAUUUGCCUCAUUCAAUCUCCUGUAAUAGUUGUAUUAUACGCAAUAUAAAUCAGUUCUUAAGUGGCUGGUUACAAUUUCAUGGAAUAUAUUUUGCAUUCCUUUGGAUGAUGUUUCUACUUUUCUUAAUGGAGUGUUCACUAAAUGUAUUAUCUUCUAAUGGAUUCUUUAUUUAUGUAUUCUGUUGUGGUAUUGUUGAACUCCUAUU